GUCUAUGGUCAUACCACCCUGAACACACUGGAUCUCGUCUAAUCUUGGAAGUUAAGCAGGGUCAGGCCUGGUUAGUACUUGGAUGGAAGAAAUUCAAUAUUGUUGCAAGGUUUGAUAAAUA
Ribosomal RNA from Chlorocebus sabaeus (green monkey), 121 nucleotides. The record is from Ensembl. Lineage: Eukaryota; Metazoa; Chordata; Mammalia; Primates; Cercopithecidae.